RNAcentral lists this transfer RNA (81 nucleotides) under Ovis aries (sheep). It matches the Rfam family "tRNA". From Rfam's summary of the family: Transfer RNA (tRNA) molecules are approximately 80 nucleotides in length. Their secondary structure includes four short double-helical elements and three loops (D, anti-codon, and T loops). The record is from Rfam by way of RNAcentral. Lineage: Eukaryota; Metazoa; Chordata; Mammalia; Artiodactyla; Bovidae.
UCCCAGGUGGCUCAGUGGGUAAAGAAUUUGCCUGUAGUGUAGGAGAGGCAGGAGACCCAGGUUCAAUCCCUGGGUUGGGAA